This 119-nucleotide ribosomal RNA is filed under the name Pteropus alecto (black flying fox). Lineage: Eukaryota; Metazoa; Chordata; Mammalia; Chiroptera; Pteropodidae. The record is from RNAcentral.
GUCUACGGCCAUGCCACCCUGAAAAGGCCUGAUUCCGUCUGAUCCCGGAAGCUGAGCAGUGUCGGGCCUGGUUAGUACUUGGAUGAGAGACCACCUAGGAAGACCAGGUGCUGCAGGCG